Molecule: small RNA, 225 nt
Filed under: Staphylococcus aureus
Lineage: Bacteria; Bacillati; Bacillota; Bacilli; Caryophanales; Staphylococcaceae
Description: 5'UTR
Source: RNAcentral
CAUACUAUGGAAUUAUGAAAGAUAAUACUACUAUUGAAAAAAUGAUUAGUGAAAAAGAUGAAAGCAUUGAGAAGAACGUUAAAUUACCUUCAGAUUCAGAUGUUAAAGUUAAAAAAGGUGAUUUUGUAAUUGUUUAUAAAUUAGCAGAUUCAGAUAAAAUUGUUAAAGUUAAAAAAGUUGACCAUGAUGACGUCCCUCACGGUUUAAUGAUGAAAAUUCAUGACA